UUGACCUCGGAUCGAGGUAGGAAUACCCGCUGAACUUAAGCAUAUCAAA
RNAcentral lists this ribosomal RNA (49 nucleotides) under Cytospora sp. 17 HM18. Its description in RNAcentral is "partial 28S ribosomal RNA". Lineage: Eukaryota; Fungi; Ascomycota; Sordariomycetes; Diaporthales; Cytosporaceae. The record is from RNAcentral.